This 102-nucleotide microRNA precursor is filed under the name Canis lupus familiaris (dog). RNAcentral describes it as "mir-8834 microRNA precursor family". RNAcentral also lists the same sequence under 1 other name. The record is from Rfam by way of RNAcentral. Lineage: Eukaryota; Metazoa; Chordata; Mammalia; Carnivora; Canidae.
AGGAACAACCGCAGUGGUGGCGGCCAGCUCUGGAGCCCUGGGUUCAGCUCCCGCAGUAACUACAGAGCUCUCCGUCUGCAGGGGGCGCUGAUCUGCUCAGCC